GCGGAGGCAAGGAGAGCUCAACAUGCGAAUCGUGCUCGGCCACAAGGCUCGGGCCAAGUCCUUGGAAAAGGGCAGCAGAGAGGGUGAGACUCCCGUGGUCGAGUGUUAUUGCAGCUCAAAGCGGGUGGUAAAUUCCAUCGACAUAUYUGGGACCGAUGAUAGGAAGUCAUACUUCUAGCCGCUGCGGCGGGGCUGUCUCGUCGCAGCUUUUGGGACGCGCAGUCCGAGGUAGCGCCGGUCCCGAGUGAGGCUGGCAAAAUGGUUUUCUUUUCCCCGUCUUAAACACGGACAG
This 292-nucleotide ribosomal RNA is filed under the name Pseudostaurosira sp. LKM-2011. RNAcentral describes it as "partial 28S ribosomal RNA". The record is from RNAcentral. Lineage: Eukaryota; Bacillariophyta; Fragilariophyceae; Staurosirales; Staurosiraceae.